This 274-nucleotide ribosomal RNA is filed under the name uncultured bacterium. RNAcentral's name for it is "partial 16S ribosomal RNA". It matches the Rfam family "Bacterial small subunit ribosomal RNA", at positions 523 to 796 of the family's 1533-position model. The record is from RNAcentral.
AUACGGAGGGUGCAAGCGUUGUCCGGAUUUAUUGGGUUUAAAGGGUGCGUAGGUGGCGUGUUAAGUCAGUGGUGAAAGCCUACAGCUCAACUGUAGAGGUGCCAUUGAUACUGACAUGCUUGAGUAUGGACGAGGUAGGCGGAAUUUGUGGUGUAGCGGUGAAAUGCAUAGAUACCACAAAGAACACCGAUAGCGAAGGCAGCUUACUGGACCAUAACUGACACUGAGGCACGAAAGUGUGGGUAGCGAACAGGAGUAGAAACCCCAGUAGUCC